AACGCGAAGAACCUUACCUGGGCUCGAAAUGCUAUGGACCAGCUGGUGAAAGCCGGCCUUCCCGCAAGGGACUGUAGUAUAGGUGCUGCAUGGCUGUCGUCAGCUCGUGUCGUGAGAUGUUGGGUUAAGUCCCGCAACGAGCGCAACCCUUGUCCUGUGUUGCCAUCAUUCAGUUGGGAACUCGCAGGAGACCGCCAGGGAUAACCUGGAGGAAGGUGGGGAUGACGUCAAGUCCUCAUGGCCUUUAUGUCCAGGGCUACACACGUGCUACAAUGGCCGGUACAAACCGCUGCAACCCCGCGAGGGUGAGCUAAUCGGAAAAAGCCGGCCUCAGUUCGGAUUGGAGUCUGCAACUCGACUCCAUGAAGCUGGAAUCGCUAGUAAUCGUGGAUCAGCAUGCCACGGUGAAUACGUUCCCGGGCCUUGUACACACCGGCUAC
Molecule: ribosomal RNA, 440 nt
Filed under: uncultured bacterium
Lineage: Bacteria
Description: bacterial SSU rRNA
Rfam family: Bacterial small subunit ribosomal RNA
Source: RNAcentral